Molecule: ribosomal RNA, 253 nt
Filed under: uncultured bacterium
Lineage: Bacteria
Description: partial 16S ribosomal RNA
Rfam family: Bacterial small subunit ribosomal RNA
Source: RNAcentral
UACGGGGGGGGCAAGCGUUGUUCGGAAUUACUGGGCGUAAAGGGCCAGUAGGCGGCCAACUAAGUCGGAUGUGAAAUCCCCAGGCUUAACCUGGGAACUGCAUCCGAUACUGGAUGGCUUGAAUCCGGGAGAGGGAUGCGGAAUUCCAGGUGUAGCGGUGAAAUGCGUAGAUAUCUGGAGGAACACCGGUGGCGAAGGCGGCAUCCUGGACCGGCAUUGACGCUGAGGCGCGAAAGCCAGGGGAGCAAACGGG